GUAUAAGAGACAGCAGUCGCCGCGGGAACACGAAGGGGGCUAGCGUUGCUCGGAAUGACUGGGCGUAAAGGGCGCGUAGGCGGAUUGCGCAGUCAGAUGUGAAAUUCCUGGGCUUAACCUGGGGGCUGCAUUUGAGACGCGUAGUCUAGAGUGUGAAGGAGGGUCGUGGAAUUCCCAGUGUAGAGGUGAAAUUCGUAGAUAUUGGGAAGAACACCGGUGGCGAAGGCGGCGACCUGGUUCAUAACUGACGCUGAGGCGCGAAAGCGUGGGGAGCAAGCAGGAUUAGAUACCCCCGUAGUCCCUGUCUCUUAUAC
Molecule: ribosomal RNA, 314 nt
Filed under: uncultured bacterium
Lineage: Bacteria
Description: partial 16S ribosomal RNA
Rfam family: Bacterial small subunit ribosomal RNA
Source: RNAcentral